UCCGUUUGAUCCCGGCGGAGGCUACUGCUAUCGGGGUCCGACUAAGCCAUGCGAGUUGAGAGGGGUAAGCUCUCGGCGAAUUGCUCAGUAACACGCGGACAACCUGCCCUUGGGUCCGGGAUAACCCCGGGAAACUGGGACUAAUACCGGAUAGAUCAAGGAUACUGGAAUGUUCCCUGGUCUAAAACUCCGGUGCCCAAGGAUGGGUCUGCGGCCUAUCAGGUAGUAGUGGGUGUAACGUACCUACUAGCCUACGACGGGUAAGGGUUGUGAGAGCAAGAGCCCUGAGAUGGAUUCUGAGACAUGAAUCCAGGCCCUACGGGGUGCAGCAGGCGCGAAAACUUUACAAUGCGGGAAACCGCGAUAAGGGGACCCCGAGUGCCAGCACCUAGUGCUGGCUGUCCCGCUGUCUAAAUAACAGUGGUUAGCAAGGGCCGGGCAAGACCGGUGCCAGCCGCCGCGGUAACACCGGCGGCCCGAGUGGUAGCCGUUAUUAUUGGGUUUAAAGGGUCCGUAGCCGGCCUAUUAAGUCUCUUGGGAAAUCUGGCGACUCAAUCGUCAGGCGUCCAAGAGAUACUGGUAGGCUUGGGACCGGGAGAGGUGGGAGGUACUCCAGGGGUAGGGGUGAAAUCUCGUAAUCCUUGGGGGACCACCGAUGGCGAAGGCAUCCCACCAGAACGGGUCCGACGGUGAGGGACGAAAGCUGGGGGCACGAACCGGAUUAGAUACCCGGGUAGUCCCAGCUGUAAACGAUGCUCGCUAGGUGUCAGGUGCGGUGCGACCGCAUCUGGUGCCGUAGUGAAAACUUGAAGCGAGUCACCUGGGAAGUACGGUCGCAAGGCUGAAACUUAAAGGAAUUGGCGGGGGAGCACUACAACGGGUGGAGCCUGCGGUUCAAUUGGAUUCAACGCCGGAAAGCUUACCGGGUCAGACAGCAAUAUGAAGGUCAGGCUAAAGACCUUACCGAAUUCGCUGAGAGGAGGUGCAUGGCCGUCGUCAGUUCGUAUCGUGAGACAUCCUGUUAAGUCAGGCAACGAGCGAGACCCA
Molecule: ribosomal RNA, 1047 nt
Filed under: uncultured archaeon
Lineage: Archaea
Description: bacterial SSU rRNA
Rfam family: Archaeal small subunit ribosomal RNA
Source: RNAcentral